GUUUUGCACCACUUUACAGUCUUAGAAUUGAAAUGAUUGAAGUGUGACAAGUGAAAACUUGAAACCCUAACUCCUAUUGGAUGAGCUUGCUUGUGUUAUGUCACUGUUUUGCUGACAAGUAAGUACUAAGUGGUAUUAAGGAAAAGUCAAAAGAGAUGAAGAAAAACUGAUGAAAAAUUGUGUUUAUUGAGUGCAUGACAGCUUUAUGUUGCAGACCUUUUAAGAUUUGAUUGUUAACAUGUAUAGAGAAAUUAGAGAGAGAGUUGACAAGGGUGUGAAUCUUUGUAACCCUAAUUAAUAAAAGCUCUUACUCUUCUUCACCUCCUUCUAUAUACUUUAUACUCUUGCACCUUAACAUCUAUUUCUAUUGCUUACUCAGAUCUGCAAAUCUUUGAAAGAAAACCCAUUGGGAAGACACAAAAAAGUGCAACAGGUAGUGAAUAUAAUAUUCUUCAAAGCUCAUAGAGGGAAAAGAAAGAUAAGUAUUCAAAUGAGAAUAAAAUUAUAUGAUAUUCAAACUACUUCAUAUAACAUCAAAAGCUUAAUCGAUCCAAUCAUGUCCAUAAUAACAUAGUAGUCUUAUACCCUGAUAUAAUUAAUGGACCUUUAUAAUAUGUAUAUAGACACACCAACAGAAACAACUUCAAUAACAAAACAUAAAGCAUUAACAUGUCAUUAAAUUCAUAGAUCAGGGAAAUUAAUUAUAUAUAUGUUGUUGAAGUAAUGUAAAUGAUGUAGAAAGAGAGUAGUGUAAGAGAAGGAAGAAC
RNAcentral lists this long non-coding RNA (767 nucleotides) under Lupinus angustifolius (narrow-leaved blue lupine). RNAcentral describes it as "long non-coding RNA (LANG_LNC000378)". The record is from RNAcentral. Lineage: Eukaryota; Viridiplantae; Streptophyta; Magnoliopsida; Fabales; Fabaceae.